Micropterus salmoides (largemouth bass) is the source of this 855-nucleotide long non-coding RNA. RefSeq lists it as uncharacterized. Lineage: Eukaryota; Metazoa; Chordata; Actinopteri; Centrarchiformes; Centrarchidae. The record is from RefSeq and is a predicted model, not a curated record. The transcript has 2 exons.
CUCACAGUGACAGUUAAAAAGAAAGAAGCAUCGGUGUGGUUUGUGCGACGACAAGACAAAAGGUCUGCUUUAAGUACGAAACUGGAAAUCAUGCCACCCACCCUCACCCAACAUGCCCGCCCGGCGUCCUUUGACAGGCAGCUUCCAGUUUAUGAGUGUUACCUCAGCGUCUCCUGGGAGUCACUGCGCCCUCUGCAACACACCCAGCGACAGAAAGAUGGGUUAAAACCAUCCUGCGCCGGGGGACAGGGAGUGCAUAUGGUAACCCACACCAGGCAAACCCGGCUGCUACACACGUCAGGGUCAUAAAUCUCUCUGCAGCAUUGGCGGGUUGAUUUUUUUGACGGAUUUUGAUUUGAAGGUGGAGACAAGAAGAGCCGAGGGAAGAGGAGGACAGGGUGACUCUGGUUGAAAUUACACCUUCUUUAAGAAAAGUUUAACUUCUGUUUUAUGAUUUGGGUUCUAUAUUUUUCUUUUUAAACAUAAUAUUCAUAAUUCUUUGAUUUGAUAGGUAGGCUUUUUUACUUCUCCCUGCAGACCAAUAGAAUAAAUAUAAGAAUAAAUGUUAUCUUGAUGUCAUUUGAUUCAAAAAAGUUCAAUACCAUAUUUCCUUAAAAUAUGAUGAGGAUAUAAGUGUGUGAGACUCUUUAAUUCAACAUCUUAUAGGACAGAAUUCCUCAUGUUUCAAUUCAUUUCUGCAGUCUUUAACAAUUCUACAACCUGUAUUUGCUUCCCUGUGUGUAUUUGUAAGUGUUUUUGCAUGUGGGAUACUGUGAGAGCUGCUGCCAUUCUCUGAGGAGCAGUUAACAGAGGAUCUAACUAGCACUGAUGAAAAUAAAUCACCACUGGCUCAAA